CUUCAGCGAACCGAGCCACAGUGGACGGACGCGCUCCUGUCCGUACGCGGCGAGCAGGGCCUGUGCCUC
Amycolatopsis orientalis HCCB10007 is the source of this 69-nucleotide non-coding RNA. It matches the Rfam family "ASpks TB sRNA". The record is from Rfam. NCBI's taxonomy places the organism in Bacteria, Bacillati, Actinomycetota, Actinomycetes, Pseudonocardiales, Pseudonocardiaceae.